This 528-nucleotide ribosomal RNA is filed under the name Vibrio anguillarum. Its description in RNAcentral is "bacterial SSU rRNA". It matches the Rfam family "Bacterial small subunit ribosomal RNA", at positions 349 to 869 of the family's 1533-position model. Lineage: Bacteria; Pseudomonadati; Pseudomonadota; Gammaproteobacteria; Vibrionales; Vibrionaceae. The record is from RNAcentral.
CAGCAGUGGGGAAUAUUGCACAAUGGGCGCAAGCCUGAUGCAGCCAUGCCGCGUGUAUGAAGAAGGCCUUCGGGUUGUAAAGUACUUUCAGUCGUGAGGAAGGUGGUGUUGUUAAUAGCAGCAUCAUUUGACGUUAGCGACAGAAGAAGCACCGGCUAACUCCGUGCCAGCAGCCGCGGUAAUACGGAGGGUGCGAGCGUUAAUCGGAAUUACUGGGCGUAAAGCGCAUGCAGGUGGUGGAUUAAGUCAGAUGUGAAAGCCCGGGGCUCAACCUCGGAACCGCAUUUGAAACUGGUUCACUAGAGUACUGUAGAGGGGGGUAGAAUUUCAGGUGUAGCGGUGAAAUGCGUAGAGAUCUGAAGGAAUACCGGUGGCGAAGGCGGCCCCCUGGACAGAUACUGACACUCAGAUGCGAAAGCGUGGGGAGCAAACAGGAUUAGAUACCCUGGUAGUCCACGCCGUAAACGAUGUCUACUUGGAGGUUGUGGCCUUGAGCCGUGGCUUUCGGAGCUAACGCGUUAAGUAGAC